This is a small nucleolar RNA of Lemur catta (Ring-tailed lemur), 103 nucleotides long. RefSeq annotates it as small nucleolar RNA U13. Lineage: Eukaryota; Metazoa; Chordata; Mammalia; Primates; Lemuridae. The transcript has a single exon. The record is from RefSeq and is a predicted model, not a curated record.
CUCCUCUUGUAGUUCAUAAGUGUGAUGGUUGGUUUUUCUUGUGCCUGUGUGAGAUGUGCCUCCCUCAACCUUGUUACAAUGUUGGCAUAUUACGCAUCUGACA